This 301-nucleotide ribosomal RNA is filed under the name uncultured bacterium. RNAcentral describes it as "partial 16S ribosomal RNA". It matches the Rfam family "Bacterial small subunit ribosomal RNA", at positions 509 to 809 of the family's 1533-position model. The record is from RNAcentral.
CAGUCGCCGCGGGAAUACGAAGGGGGCUAGCGUUGUUCGGAUUUACUGGGCGUAAAGCGCACGUAGGCGGACUUUUAAGUCAGGGGUGAAAUCCCGGGGCUCAACCCCGGAACUGCCUUUGAUACUGGAAGUCUUGAGUAUGGUAGAGGUGAGUGGAAUUCCGAGUGUAGAGGUGAAAUUCGUAGAUAUUCGGAGGAACACCAGUGGCGAAGGCGGCUCACUGGACCAUUACUGACGCUGAGGUGCGAAAGCGUGGGGAGCAAACAGGAUUAGAUACCCGAGUAGUCCCUGUCUUUUAUAU